UUUCAUUCUGUCAUCCUUUGUAUGGAUCCUUUAUAAUGUGAUGGUCGUGCUUUUUGAAGGUUACAAACUCUAUGCUAGUUGACUGUUGUUUGCACCGAUGCAAAAUUCAGAGUGCAGAGCUGACUGAAUAUGACAAUAAGUGGCUUUUCUUUUAAGUUACCUGAAGAUUUCAGUUCACAAAAAAGAAUAGAGGAUUUCCACUGUAUUGUGGAUAACAAUGUGAGAUCCAAACCAGAAGUAUGAAGUCCUUAAAUCAACCGUAUUGCUUUCGCGUUUUUGGGAUAAACAUGACAAGUAAUCAAUGGGUGGCUAGAAAGGUGAUUUGCUUAAGUCCUUUAAUGUUUGAGAGCUGAUCUAGAUAUCUAAUUGCCAUCUUUUCUUCAUCUACAACUCAAAUCCGAAUGUUUUGCUACAGCUGCCACACAACGGAACUAGAAAGUCACUCCUGCAAUAAUUGUGGUUUCAGCCAGAAAUGUGCACUAUUUUUGGCUUGGCUGAUGGCGGGGACAAAAAUUUGCGAAGCUCGGAGAAUACCAGAAUGAUGGUGAACACAUAUGCCCCAUGUAGACUUAUGAAAAAUAUUUGCAUGACAACUGCACGACAGAGGUCGGAUUCUGGAAAUCAUCUGUGUUUGCUGGACUCUUGGAAGAAUUGGUUGACCACAUAAAUGUGAUGCUUGAGCAUCAUUUGGCUCGUGAUCCUGGGGGAAAGAAAAUAGAUAAGAAUGCCUUUGAAGUACAUGACAUUGCAUGUCAUUAUACAUCAUCAGUCACAAGGAGCUUCACUGUAAUUUUGGCAAUGAUGUGAGAUCCUAACAAAAUAUUUGGGUCGAUGUAACAAGGACAUUCUUUAAGCUGAUUGCAUUGCAUUGUGCUUUAUGAAUGGGAGCCAUCCGUCAUAGUAAU
Eucalyptus grandis is the source of this 905-nucleotide long non-coding RNA. RefSeq lists it as uncharacterized. NCBI's taxonomy places the organism in Eukaryota, Viridiplantae, Streptophyta, Magnoliopsida, Myrtales, Myrtaceae. The record is from RefSeq and is a predicted model, not a curated record. The transcript has 4 exons.